This is a long non-coding RNA of Xenia sp. Carnegie-2017, 221 nucleotides long. RefSeq lists it as uncharacterized. The transcript is spliced from 2 exons. The record is from RefSeq and is a predicted model, not a curated record. Lineage: Eukaryota; Metazoa; Cnidaria; Anthozoa; Malacalcyonacea; Xeniidae.
AGAGUUGUCAGUAUGUUAGGUGAAUAGAAGUCCAGAAUUGUUAUUUUGGCAUUCAGUUCUCAAGUGAGGAUUAUGUUGCAAGUGUCUUGUGUUAUGUAGUUUUAGUAUGUUGGAUUAGAUUUUAGUGGCUACUUGUUGCAGUAGCAUGUUAAACUUUGUUUGUUAAAUUCUAUUACGUUUUUAUUAUGAUUGGGUGGUUUUUGUAAGGGUGCUCUAUUAAA